UGUCUUGUGGUGUAGUGGUCAAGACGCUCGCCUGGUAAUCAGGAGGGCGUGGGUUCAAUCCCAGCCAAGAUAU
Molecule: transfer RNA, 73 nt
Filed under: Diaphorina citri (Asian citrus psyllid)
Lineage: Eukaryota; Metazoa; Arthropoda; Insecta; Hemiptera; Psyllidae
Rfam family: tRNA
About the family: Transfer RNA (tRNA) molecules are approximately 80 nucleotides in length. Their secondary structure includes four short double-helical elements and three loops (D, anti-codon, and T loops). Further hydrogen bonds mediate the characteristic L-shaped molecular structure. tRNAs have two regions of fundamental functional importance: the anti-codon, which is responsible for specific mRNA codon recognition, and the 3' end, to which the tRNAs corresponding amino acid is attached (by aminoacyl-tRNA synthetases). tRNAs cope with the degeneracy of the genetic code in two manners: having more than one tRNA (with a specific anti-codon) for a particular amino acid; and 'wobble' base-pairing, i.e. permitting non-standard base-pairing at the 3rd anti-codon position.
Source: Rfam by way of RNAcentral